UGCCUACGGGGGGCAGCAGUAGGGAAUUUUCGGCAAUGGGGGGAACCCUGACCGAGCAACGCCGCGUGAACGAAGAAGUUAUUCGUAAUGUAAAGUUCUUUUUUCAGGGAAGAAAGAGGAAUUUGACGGUACCUGAGGAAUAAGCUCCGGCUAACUACGUGCCAGCAGCCGCGGUAAUACGUAGGGAGCGAGCGUUAUCCGGAUUUACUGGGUGUAAAGGGAGCGUAGACGGCAUGGCAAGUCAGAUGUGAAAGCC
Molecule: ribosomal RNA, 256 nt
Filed under: uncultured bacterium
Lineage: Bacteria
Description: partial 16S ribosomal RNA
Rfam family: Bacterial small subunit ribosomal RNA
Source: RNAcentral